Molecule: ribosomal RNA, 253 nt
Filed under: uncultured bacterium
Lineage: Bacteria
Description: partial 16S ribosomal RNA
Rfam family: Bacterial small subunit ribosomal RNA
Source: RNAcentral
UACGUAGGGUGCUAGCGUUGUUCGGAAUCAUUGGGCGUAAAGCGCGUGUAGGCGGUUAGUUAAGUCGGGUGUGAAAUCCCUGGGCUCAACCGAGGAAGUGCAUCCGAAACUAACUAGCUAGAGAAUGGUAGAGGAAGGUGGAAUUCCGUGUGUAGAGGUGAAAUUCGUAGAUAUACGGAGGAAUACCGGUGGCGAAGGCGGCCUUCUGGACCAUUUCUGACGCUGAGACGCGGAAGCGUGGGGAGCAAACAGG